RNAcentral lists this ribosomal RNA (433 nucleotides) under uncultured bacterium. RNAcentral's name for it is "partial 16S ribosomal RNA". It matches the Rfam family "Bacterial small subunit ribosomal RNA", at positions 29 to 507 of the family's 1533-position model. The record is from RNAcentral.
AACGAACGCUGGCGGCAUGCCUAACACAUGCAAGUCGAACGAGACCUUCGGGUCUAGUGGCGCACGGGUGCGUAACGCGUGGGAACCUGCCCUUAGGUUCGGAAUAACUCCCCGAAAGGGGUGCUAAUACCGGAUAAUGUCUUCGGACCAAAGAUUUAUCGUCUUUGGAUGGGCCCGCGUUGGAUUAGCUAGUUGGUAGGGUAAAAGCCUACCAAGGCGACGAUCCAUAGCUGGUCUGAGAGGAUGAUCAGCCACACUGGGACUGAGACACGGCCCAGACUCCUACGGGAGGCAGCAGUGGGGAAUAUUGGACAAUGGGCGAAAGCCUGAUCCAGCAAUGCCGCGUGAGUGAUGAAGGCCUUAGGGUUGUAAAGCUCUUUUACCCGGGAUGAUAAUGACAGUACCGGAAGAAUAAGCUCCGGCUAACUCCGUG